RNAcentral lists this ribosomal RNA (454 nucleotides) under Streptococcus mitis. RNAcentral's name for it is "bacterial SSU rRNA". It matches the Rfam family "Bacterial small subunit ribosomal RNA", at positions 28 to 468 of the family's 1533-position model. Lineage: Bacteria; Bacillati; Bacillota; Bacilli; Lactobacillales; Streptococcaceae. The record is from RNAcentral.
GACGAACGCUGGCGGCGUGCCUAAUACAUGCAAGUAGAACGCUGAAGGAGGAGCUUGCUUCUCUGGAUGAGUUGCGAACGGGUGAGUAACGCGUAGGUAACCUGCCUGGUAGCGGGGGAUAACUAUUGGAAACGAUAGCUAAUACCGCAUAAGAGUAGAUGUUGCAUGACAUUUGCUUAAAAGGUGCAAUUGCAUCACUACCAGAUGGACCUGCGUUGUAUUAGCUAGUUGGUGAGGUAACGGCUCACCAAGGCAACGAUACAUAGCCGACCUGAGAGGGUGAUCGGCCACACUGGGACUGAGACACGGCCCAGACUCCUACGGGAGGCAGCAGUAGGGAAUCUUCGGCAAUGGACGGAAGUCUGACCGAGCAACGCCGCGUGAGUGAAGAAGGUUUUCGGAUCGUAAAGCUCUGUUGUAAGAGAAGAACGAGUGUGAGAGUGGAAAGUUCACA